UGUCUUUCGACCAGCCGUUCUGACCCCUUGGCUCUUGUCUCCGGACGAGUGGCCUGCGGGCUCCGGUUGGUCCUGAUGGCGGAAUGACCGUUCCAGCACCUGAGGCGUGAUGGGUCUUUGUGCGUCGAUGUGCUCCCUGCAACCGUGCAGCCGUCCGUCGUCGUCUCCCUCCUUUCGCUGUCCCUGCCGACCGCGCUACCGCGUGCGUUCCUCCAGAGCCUGCCUGUGCGAUGUAUUGCUGUUUUCCUACGGAAAGUGGUGUGAAGGUUGCCUACAUAAAGUGCCUCCGCUUGCCCUCUGCCCUUCUGGGUUGCGGCGAGCGGCUACGCAAACGUUUGCCCCGUUAGCUUGGUCGGAUCGAUUUGUGCCUUGGCGCUGUCGUCCCCCGAUCGUCCCUUUCGGUGGCUGCCGUAAGCGCUCUCGGACUCGGGAAAUGCUCCUUGCGGCUGGGCGGGGGUCUGCAGGCCCCCCGCCCCCCCGCGUAAGGUCUUAUUGGAGGUCGGUCGCCCUCUGCUCGGACGACCCUCGGCUCCUUGUCUUGCGCCCGUCCGUAGUGCGCCCUCUGCGGUGUUUCGGACGUGCGCCGCGGGCGCCG
RNAcentral lists this unclassified non-coding RNA (595 nucleotides) under Thalia dealbata. RNAcentral describes it as "partial miscellaneous RNA". Lineage: Eukaryota; Viridiplantae; Streptophyta; Magnoliopsida; Zingiberales; Marantaceae. The record is from RNAcentral.